UACGUAGGGACCGAGCGUUGUCCGGAAUCAUUGGGCGUAAAGAGCGUGUAGGCGGCUUGUUAAGUCUUGCGUGAAAUCUCGGGGCUCAACCCCGAGCGGUCGUGAGAAACUGGCAGGCUAGAGUGCGGGAGAGGAGAGUGGAAUUCCUGGUGUAGCGGUGAAAUGCGCAGAUAUCAGGAGGAACACCAAUGGCGAAGGCAGCUCGCUGGGACGUGACUGACGCUGGAGACGCGAAAGCGUGGGGAGCAAACAGG
RNAcentral lists this ribosomal RNA (254 nucleotides) under uncultured bacterium. RNAcentral describes it as "partial 16S ribosomal RNA". It matches the Rfam family "Bacterial small subunit ribosomal RNA", at positions 524 to 776 of the family's 1533-position model. The record is from RNAcentral.